GUAUAAUCUGCCCGCUGAGGUUUUGAAGGGCCGCGGUAUUUUGACCGUGCAAAGGUAGCAUAAUCAUUAGUCUUUUAAUUGAGGACUGGGAUGAAGGAUUGGACGAAAUAUGAGCUGUCUCUGUCUAAAUUUUAAAAUUUAAUUUUUUGGUUAAAAAGCUAAAAUAAAGUUAAAAGACGAGAAGACCCUAUAGAUCUUUAUAUAUCUUAUAUUAAAGUUUUUAGGAAAGUUUUAAGGUUUAAAAUAAAUUUUAUUGGGUUGGGGUGAUUAAAAUAUAAAAUAACUAUUUUAUAACAUAACACUAAUAUGUGGUGAUAAGAUCCAUAAGAAUGAAAAUUAAAUUAAGUUACCUUAGGGAUAACAGCGUAAUUUUAUUAGAGAGCUCUAAUCGAAAAUAAAGAUUGCGACCUCGAUGUUGGAUUAAAGGAAAAGUUUAGGCGCAGUUGUUUAAACUUGGAGUCUGUUCGAC
RNAcentral lists this ribosomal RNA (469 nucleotides) under Dentatella coxalis. Its description in RNAcentral is "partial 16S ribosomal RNA". It matches the Rfam family "Bacterial large subunit ribosomal RNA", at positions 1852 to 2585 of the family's 2925-position model. The record is from RNAcentral. Lineage: Eukaryota; Metazoa; Arthropoda; Insecta; Ephemeroptera; Ephemerellidae.